This 587-nucleotide long non-coding RNA is filed under the name Gopherus agassizii (Agassiz's desert tortoise). Its description in RNAcentral is "lncRNA (ENSGAGG00000020699.1)". The record is from RNAcentral. Lineage: Eukaryota; Metazoa; Chordata; Testudines; Testudinidae.
CUUUAACUAAAGAUGCUGCUGUUAAUUAUUUUAUUGUUCAUAGUUCGAGUGGGAGCCUUCAAAGCUUUUUAACAGAGUGUUUCUGUCUCCCUUAUAUUUUCUGCUCUGUUGCAAAAGGAGCAGACAGGACCCAGGAGCAAUGUUCAGCGAUCUGGAGCAUCCAGCAAUUCCCAGGACCAGCAAUGUUGCUUGAUACUGGCUCUGGUACAGAGAUCCUCAGUGAGGUGGUGCGAGGAUGCCUGUUGUGUCCUGGUUGCUCGCAUGCAGGGAGAACUCAGAUCCUCCUGCUUCUGCUGAGACGGUACCUGUGGGCCAGACAAGACACCCAAUAGGUGCCAAGACCACAGAUGAGGUCUGUGCUGCAACAGAGCAUCAGCUGUUGGCAGGAGAGUUCAUGCCAGCUCCGUGGUCCCAGAUGGUGAUACAAGUUUUGUAUUACAGGGUGUACGGGCUGUACAGACUGCCCAUCCCCCAAAGUCCCUUUGCACUGCCAUCACCUGCACGAGAAUGAGACCCCGCAAGCAGAAGGACGGAUGAUUAGUAGCUGUACCUGAAAGCUGCAGGGAGGAGAACCCCGACGCUGCACC